RNAcentral lists this ribosomal RNA (369 nucleotides) under uncultured bacterium. RNAcentral's name for it is "bacterial SSU rRNA". It matches the Rfam family "Bacterial small subunit ribosomal RNA", at positions 28 to 402 of the family's 1533-position model. The record is from RNAcentral.
GACGAACGCUGGCGGCGUGCUUAACACAUGCAAGUCGAACGGAAAGGCCCUUCGGGGUACUCGAGUGGCGAACGGGUGAGAAACACGUGGGUGAUCUGCCCUGCACUUUGGGAUAAGCCUGGGAAACUGGGUCUAAUACCGGAUAGGACUACGGCCUGCAUGGGUUGUGGUGGAAAGCUUUUGCGGUGUGGGAUGGGCCCGCGGCCUAUCAGCUUGUUGGUGGGUGAUGGCCUACCAAGGCGACGACGGGUAGCCGGCCUGAGAGGGUGACCGGCCACACUGGGACUGAGAUACGGCCCAGACUCCUACGGGAGGCAGCAGCGGGGAAUAUUGCACAAUGGGCGCAAGCCUGAUGCAGCGACGCCGCGU